Molecule: ribosomal RNA, 354 nt
Filed under: uncultured Allobrachymonas sp.
Lineage: Bacteria; Pseudomonadati; Pseudomonadota; Betaproteobacteria; Burkholderiales; Comamonadaceae
Description: bacterial SSU rRNA
Rfam family: Bacterial small subunit ribosomal RNA
Source: RNAcentral
GAACCUGCACACAGGUGCUGCAUGGCUGUCGUCAGCUCGUGUCGUGAGAUGUUGGGUUAAGUCCCGCAACGAGCGCAACCCUUGCCAUUAGUUGCUACGAAAGGGCACUCUAAUGGGACUGCCGGUGACAAACCCGGAGGAAGGGUGGGGAUGACGUCAAGUCCUCAUGGCCCUUAUAGGUGGGGCUACACACGUCAUACAAUGGCCGGUACAGAGGGUAGCCAACCCGCGGAGGGGGAGCCAAUCCCACAAAGCCGGUCGUAGUCCGGAUCGCAGUCUGCAACUCGACUGCGUGAAGUCGGAAUCGCUAGUAAUCGCGGAUCAGCAUGUCGCGGUGAAUACGUUCCCGGGCUU